This 253-nucleotide ribosomal RNA is filed under the name uncultured bacterium. RNAcentral's name for it is "partial 16S ribosomal RNA". It matches the Rfam family "Bacterial small subunit ribosomal RNA", at positions 524 to 776 of the family's 1533-position model. The record is from RNAcentral.
UACGGAGGGUGCGAGCGCUGUUCGGAAUUAUUGGGCGUAAAGGGCGCGUAGGCGGCGCCACAAGUCACCUGUGAAAACUCUGGGCUCAACCCAGAGCCUGCAGGCGAAACUGUGGUGCUGGAGUAUGGGAGAGGUGCGUGGAAUUCCCGGUGUAGCGGUGAAAUGCGUAGAUAUCGAGAGGAACACCUGUGGCGAAAGCGGCGCACUGGACCAUAACUGACGCUGAGGCGCGAAAGCUAGGGGAGCAAACAGG